UGGCGAACGGGUGAGUAACACGUGGGCAAUCUGCCCUUCACUCUGGGACAAGCCCUGGAAACGGGGUCUAAUACCGGAUACUGACCCUCGCAGGCAUCUGCGAGGGUCGAAAGCUCCGGCGGUGAAGGAUGAGCCCGCGGCCUAUCAGCUUGUUGGUGAGGUAAUGGCUCACCAAGGCGACGACGGGUAGCCGGCCUGAGAGGGCGACCGGCCACACUGGGACUGAGACACGGCCCAGACUCCUACGGGAGGCAGCAGUGGGGAAUAUUGCACAAUGGGCGAAAGCCUGAUGCAGCGACGCCGCGUGAGGGAUGACGGCCUUCGGGUUGUAAACCUCUUUCAGCAGGGAAGAAGCGAAAGUGACGGUACCUGCAGAAGAAGCGCCGGCUAACUACGUGCCAGCAGCCGCGGUAAUACGUAGGGCGCAAGCGUUGUCCGGAAUUAUUGGGCGUAAAGAGCUCGUAGGCGGCUUGUCACGUCGGUUGUGAAAGCCCGGGGCUUAACCCCGGGUCUGCAGUCGAUACGGGCAGGCUAGAGUUCGGUAGGGGAGAUCGGAAUUCCUGGUGUAGCGGUGAAAUGCGCAGAUAUCAGGAGGAACACCGGUGGCGAAGGCGGAUCUCUGGGCCGAUACUGACGCUGAGGAGCGAAAGCGUGGGGAGCGAACAGGAUUAGAUACCCUGGUAGUCCACGCCGUAAACGGUGGGCACUAGGUGUGGGCAACAUUCCACGUUGUCCGUGCCGCAGCUAACG
RNAcentral lists this ribosomal RNA (750 nucleotides) under Streptomyces anthocyanicus. RNAcentral describes it as "bacterial SSU rRNA". It matches the Rfam family "Bacterial small subunit ribosomal RNA", at positions 96 to 857 of the family's 1533-position model. The record is from RNAcentral. Lineage: Bacteria; Bacillati; Actinomycetota; Actinomycetes; Kitasatosporales; Streptomycetaceae.